RNAcentral lists this ribosomal RNA (400 nucleotides) under uncultured bacterium. RNAcentral's name for it is "bacterial SSU rRNA". It matches the Rfam family "Bacterial small subunit ribosomal RNA", at positions 355 to 753 of the family's 1533-position model. The record is from RNAcentral.
UGAGGAAUAUUGGUCAAUGGGCGAGAGCCUGAACCAGCCAAGUCGCGUGAGGGAAGGAGGUCCUACGGAUUGUAAACCUCUUUUGCGGGGGAGCAACGGGCGCCACGUGUGGCGCCGUGAGCGUACCCCGAGAAAAAGCAUCGGCUAACUCCGUGCCAGCAGCCGCGGUAAUACGGAGGAUGCGAGCGUUAUCCGGAUUUAUUGGGUUUAAAGGGUGCGUAGGCGGCACGGAAAGUCAGCGGUAAAAAUGCGGUGCUCAACGCCGUACAGCCGUUGAAACUGACGGGCUAGCGUACGCCAGGAGCAUGCGGAAUGCGCGGUGUAGCGGUGAAAUGCAUAGAUAUCGCGCAGAACUCCGAUCGCGAAGGCAGCAUGCUAUGGCGAAACGGACGCUGAGGCA